RNAcentral lists this ribosomal RNA (606 nucleotides) under uncultured bacterium. RNAcentral's name for it is "bacterial SSU rRNA". The stretch from base 1 to 518 matches the Rfam family "Bacterial small subunit ribosomal RNA", at positions 338 to 873 of the family's 1533-position model. The record is from RNAcentral.
CCUACGGGAGGCAGCAGUGGGGAAUCUUGCGCAAUGGGCGAAAGCCUGACGCAGCCAUGCCGCGUGAAUGAUGAAGGUCUUAGGAUUGUAAAAUUCUUUCACCGGGGACGAUAAUGACGGUACCCGGAGAGGAAGCCCCGGCUAACUUCGUGCCAGCAGCCGCGGUAAUACGAAGGGGGCUAGCGUUGCUCGGAAUUACUGGGCGUAAAGGGAGCGUAGGCGGAUAGUUUAGUCAGAGGUGAAAGCCCAGGGCUCAACCUUGGAAUUGCCUUUGAUACUGGCUAUCUUGAGUAUGGGAGAGGUAUGCGGAACUCCGAGUGUAGAGGUGAAAUUCGUAGAUAUUCGGAAGAACACCAGUGGCGAAGGCGGCAUACUGGCCCAUUACUGACGCUGAGGCUCGAAAGCGUGGGGAGCAAACAGGAUUAGAUACCCUGGUAGUCCACGCUGUAAACGAUGAGUGCUAGUUGUCGGCAUGCAUGCAUGUCGGUGACGCGAGCUACGACAUAAGACACUCCGCCGUCGGGUAGGUACGGUCGCGAAGAAGUUAAACGUAACGAAGAAGUAGUAGACGNGAGAGAGCGACGACGACGACGACGGAGGAGGAGG